AAAUCCCAACUCAACAUGGAGGGCUUAAACGUGACAAUGAUCCUGAUUUUUCGUCUAAAGGUGGUGCUGCUAUGGAGCCGAGUGUAAAAAAACAAAUCUGUCAAAACGACGUAGUUUGGAAGACUGUACACAAAUAAAAUAUACACAACUAAGAAAGUAUUUUGGUAUGGGAGUUGUGUGUGUUAGGUUGGGAAGUGAAGUAUGAAGAAGA
RNAcentral lists this long non-coding RNA (211 nucleotides) under Panax ginseng (ginseng). Its description in RNAcentral is "long non-coding RNA (PGIN_LNC012592)". Lineage: Eukaryota; Viridiplantae; Streptophyta; Magnoliopsida; Apiales; Araliaceae. The record is from RNAcentral.